GCCAGACCUUGGAUCGAGCCCAAAUACCCCCAGGAAAAUGCUGGUCCUCUGGGAGGGAUAUCAUGAGAACCAAAGCUGGCCUGGGGAGCAGGGAACACAGAUGGACUGGGCGGCAGCCCCCGCCCCACCCUACUCCAAAGAGUCCAAAGUCCUGCCCAGCCACUAACCAGCUGUGACACAGGGCAAGCCGCACACCCUCUCUGGGCCUUGGGUUCCUUAUCUGCAGAAUGGGAGCCAUAAUUCACCUCGAUCGCACGGUGAAGUCAGUGCGUAUAUGCACUCUUGAAAUGAAGUUCUCGGUAAGCUCUAGCCAUCGUUGUUGUCAGUAUUACUCUAUGACUCGGCCUGGCCUGCUUGACCCCAGAAGCACCAUGGAAAACCCACCGCUUUUCACUCACCUCGGCUCUGCCGCCAUGACCUUGAGAUCAUUCCUCUGACCUCUGUGAACCUCAUUUUGGGGACAGGACUACGCCUACCAAGUCUGUGGGGGUGGUGCUAUGAACUCGAUGAGAAAAUGGGUCUGGAGGGCCCGGCGCAGUGCCUGGUGCAGAGGAAGUGCCCAUCAAUGGUGGCCUUUAUCACGAGUCUGGUUUGCAUGGGACCCUGAGGGAAGCGGGGCUGGGGAACAGAGGAAGCAAUUGUACAGAGGACUUUGCUAGUGGUCCAGUGGUUAAGAAUUCACCUUCCAAUGCAGAGGAGAGAAGGUCAAUCCCUGGUCUGGAAAGAUUCCACGUGCUGAGGAGCAACUAAGCCUGUGAGCCGCAACUACUGAAGCCCGCACACUAGAGCCUGCGCUCUGCGCCGUGAGAUGUCACUGUGGUGAAAAGCCAUUGCGCCACAGCUAGAGAGUAGCCCCAACUCACUGCAUCUGGAAAGAGUCCCUCAUGCAGCAGUGAAGACUCAGUGUGGCCAAUAAAUAAAUAAACGUAAAAUAUUGCCUUUUUUAAGGCCCCAUCUCCAAAUAUGGGUACAGUCUUAGGUACUGGGGAUUGAGGACUUCAACAUGUAAAUGGAGGGCGGGGAGGCUGCAGUUCAGCCUCUAACAGCAGUCAUUGUUCCGAAACGGGCAUGUGGCCCAAUUCAAGUCAAUGGUAUAUGGAUGGAUACUCGCUGGAGGUAGAGUGGAGUCUCGGGAAACUCUCUUCUCACCUAAGGCAGAACACAGGGAGAGAUGCUCUCUUCUUCCUUUGAAAACUGUCAUGUUAGAAUGUGAUACCCAGGCCUGGGGGUGCCCAGGGUGGGUACUGGGAACUCUACAGGGUUGAGGUGGUAUAUCAGUCAGCCCUGAAGUCAGCCCAAAGCUGUCCUGUGGGUUGAAGCUGGUUUAAGUUAAGGUUUUGGUUACACCUGGAAACCACCCUAACUGCCAUUUGAAGCAGAGAUAGUUAGGGUUCCACCUACACCUCCUCUCUCCACCUCCCUGCGCUCACGGUGGGACACAUUUCAUUUCCCGGCUUCCCCUGGAGUUGGGUGGGACCAUGUGACCAAGUUCUACCAAAAGGCAUGGGAAUGAAUAUGAGCGCAGGACACCGGCCAACUCCAGGCUGAAGGGGUUUGGCUACUUCACUGGCUCCUCCCCUGCCAGCCAGAGGGGACCUGGUGUGGCUGGGACCUGGCCUUGAUCACGUGGAUGACGUGCUAGAGCCCCAGCAUGGAGGGAACCUGGGCCCCUAAAAUCUGUCAAUCCAGAAUGGUCACAGGGGAGACACACAGGUUAUGUGUUCUUCAUGCUGCUGCUUUCGGGCGAUCUUUGGUAGAGCAGUAGAGCUUUGCUUUAAUAAUAAUACCUCGUCUUUAUUCUAAGGGUGGAGAGAGUUUUACCAGAGCAAAGUUGAUGGCGAAUGUUUCCUGCAGAAGACUUUUCUUUUAGGGUCAGAGAUGGCUUCAAGCUACCCAGGCUGAAAUAGAUGUCUUAAUAUCUGCCAGGUGCCCUUUAUGGAAUCCAUUUGUGCAAGUAACUUUCCGAUGAAGUGGCUUCCUGUGGGUGCAUUGUCAGGCAAAGGAAUGCUUUCAUUGAUCUGCUGAUGAGUACCUCCUGCCGGAUGCCUGCUUUUAUCAACUUAGUUCUCGCUGUGUAUCAAGUUCCUGGAAGCCGGUCCAAGUGAAUCUGCCUCUGACGUGUAUUCAGACCCUGCCCAGGACAACGUCAGGUUCCAGCCUGGUCCGUGAGGAGCCUUCUGGCAGGACUGACCUCUCCUUCCUCUGUGCCCCUCUUCUGGUAUCUAUUUCAUUCUGCUCAGACCGCGGUCUCCAUGCCGCCGCCUUCCUCCCCAUUCCUCCCACUGGGAGCUCCCGGAGGACUGCGCCGUGCUCCACUGUGGGUGUCUAAUGUGAUGCCUGGUGCCCAGCCGGAGCUCAGUAAGAAUGGGCCGAAUGAAGACUGACUCUGACCAAGGACAAAGGUCCCUUCCCGAGCCCCAGUCCAGGUUCAAGGCCCCAAACAGGAAUAUUCUCCAAAGGUAUUUAAACAAGUUUGAAGUUGGAUUGUGUUUUCCAUGCACUAGUUUAGUUCAGUUGAUCAGUCGUGUCCGACUCUUUGCGGCCCCAUGGACUACAGCACGCCCGGCUUCCCUGUCCAUCUCCAACUCUCGGAGCUUGCUCAAACUCAUGCCCAUUGAGUCAGUGAUGCCAUCCAACCAUCUCAUCUUCGGUCAUCCCCUUCUCCUCCCACCUUCAAUCUUUCCCAGCAUCAAGGUCUUUUCCAAUGAGUCGGUUCUUCGCAUCAGGUGGCCAAAGUAUUGGAGUUUCAGCUUCAGCAUUAAUC
Bos taurus (domestic cattle) is the source of this 2764-nucleotide long non-coding RNA. The record is from Ensembl. NCBI's taxonomy places the organism in Eukaryota, Metazoa, Chordata, Mammalia, Artiodactyla, Bovidae.